RNAcentral lists this ribosomal RNA (397 nucleotides) under uncultured bacterium. RNAcentral's name for it is "partial 16S ribosomal RNA". It matches the Rfam family "Bacterial small subunit ribosomal RNA", at positions 523 to 918 of the family's 1533-position model. The record is from RNAcentral.
AUACGUAGGGGGCGAGCGUUGUCCGGAAUGAUUGGGCGUAAAGGGCGCGUAGGCGGCCCGGUAAGUCUGGAGUGAAAGUCCUGUUUUUAAGAUGGGAAUUGCUUUGGAUACUGUCGGGCUUGAGUGCAGGAGAGGUAAGUGGAAUUCCCAGUGUAGCGGUGAAAUGCGUAGAGAUUGGGAGGAACACCAGUGGCGAAGGCAACUUACUGGACUGUAACUGACGCUGAGGCGCGAAAGUGUGGGGAGCAAACAGGAUUAGAUACCCUGGUAGUCCACACUGUAAACGAUGAAUGCUAGGUGUAGGGGGUAUCGACCCCUUCUGUGCCGCAGUCAACACAAUAAGCAUUCCGCCUGGGGAGUACGGCCGCAAGGUUGAAACUCAAAUGAAUUGACGGGG